RNAcentral lists this small nuclear RNA (176 nucleotides) under Saimiri boliviensis boliviensis (Bolivian squirrel monkey). RNAcentral's name for it is "U1 spliceosomal RNA (ENSSBOG00000017640.1)". It matches the Rfam family "U1 spliceosomal RNA". Rfam says of the family: U1 is a small nuclear RNA (snRNA) component of the spliceosome (involved in pre-mRNA splicing). Its 5' end forms complementary base pairs with the 5' splice junction, thus defining the 5' donor site of an intron. The record is from RNAcentral. Lineage: Eukaryota; Metazoa; Chordata; Mammalia; Primates; Cebidae.
AAAUCCUGAGGAUACAACUGUGAUCAAAACAGUCUCCCCUGGCUUAUCCAUUCCACUCCGGAUGUGCUGACCCCUGCGAUUUCCCCAAAUGUGGGAAACUUGACUACAUACUUUGUGGUAGUGGGGGACUGUGUUCGAAGGGAAAAAAAAAAAAAAAACAAAACAGCCUACCCUGU